RNAcentral lists this ribosomal RNA (253 nucleotides) under uncultured bacterium. Its description in RNAcentral is "partial 16S ribosomal RNA". It matches the Rfam family "Bacterial small subunit ribosomal RNA", at positions 524 to 776 of the family's 1533-position model. The record is from RNAcentral.
UACGUAGGGUGCGAGCGUUAAUCGGAAUUACUGGGCGUAAAGCGUGCGCAGGCGGUUCUGGAAGGCAGAUGUGAAAUCCCCGGGCUCAACCUGGGAACUGCGUUUGAAACUACAGGACUUGAGUAUGGCAGAGGGGGGUAGAAUUCCACGUGUAGCAGUGAAAUGCGUAGAGAUGUGGAGGAAUACCAAUGGCGAAGGCAGCCCCCUGGGUCAAUACUGACGCUCAUGCACGAAAGCGUGGGGAGCAAACAGG